Molecule: transfer RNA, 72 nt
Filed under: Fasciola hepatica (liver fluke)
Lineage: Eukaryota; Metazoa; Platyhelminthes; Trematoda; Plagiorchiida; Fasciolidae
Description: tRNA-Ile
Rfam family: tRNA (bases 4-67)
About the family: Transfer RNA (tRNA) molecules are approximately 80 nucleotides in length. Their secondary structure includes four short double-helical elements and three loops (D, anti-codon, and T loops).
Source: RNAcentral
CGACGAUAGCUCAGUUGGUAGAGCGUCCACCCGAUAAGCGGAAUGUCACCGGUUGGAUUCCGGCUCGCUUGG